RNAcentral lists this ribosomal RNA (112 nucleotides) under Parageobacillus sp. KH3-4. The record is from RNAcentral. RNAcentral also lists the same sequence under 1 other name. Lineage: Bacteria; Bacillati; Bacillota; Bacilli; Caryophanales; Anoxybacillaceae.
UAGUGACAAUAGCGGAGAGGAAACACCCGUUCCCAUUCCGAACACGGAAGUUAAGCUCUCCAGCGCCGAUGGUAGUUGGGGCCAGCGCCCCUGCAAGAGUAGGUCGUUGCUA